This 489-nucleotide ribosomal RNA is filed under the name uncultured bacterium. RNAcentral's name for it is "bacterial SSU rRNA". It matches the Rfam family "Bacterial small subunit ribosomal RNA", at positions 30 to 510 of the family's 1533-position model. The record is from RNAcentral.
AUUGAACGCUGGCGGCAUGCCUUACACAUGCAAGUCGAACGGCAGCACGGGAGCAAUCCUGGUGGCGAGUGGCGAACGGGUGAGUAAUAUAUCGGAACGUGCCCAGUCGUGGGGGAUAACGUAGCGAAAGCUACGCUAAUACCGCAUACGAUCUAUGGAUGAAAGCGGGGGAUCGCAAGACCUCGCGCGAUUGGAGCGGCCGAUAUCAGAUUAGCUAGUUGGUGGGGUAAAGGCUCACCAAGCCAACGAUCUGUAGCUGGUCUGAGAGGACGACCAGCCACACUGGAACUGAGACACGGUCCAGACUCCUACGGGAGGCAGCAGUGGGGAAUUUUGGACAAUGGGCGCAAGCCUGAUCCAGCCAUUCCGCGUGCAGGAUGAAGGCCUCGGUUGUAACUAGCUUUGUACGGUAACGAAACGGUACUGCCCUAACUACGGCGGGCGUAAUGACGGUACCGUAAGAAUAAGACACCGGCUAACUACGUAGCC